Molecule: small RNA, 27 nt
Filed under: Bombyx mori (domestic silkworm)
Lineage: Eukaryota; Metazoa; Arthropoda; Insecta; Lepidoptera; Bombycidae
Description: ovarian small RNA-2489
Source: RNAcentral
ACCAGAGUGUAACAAUUUAAGGUGCUC